UGGGGCGGUUGCCUCCCAAAAUGUAACGGAGGCGCCCCAAAGGUUCCCUCAGCCUGGUUGGCAAUCAGGUGUCGAGUGCAAGUGCACGAAGGGUAGCUUGACUGUGAGAGUGGCAGCUCGAGCAGGGACGAAGUCGGGACUAGUGAUCCGGCGGCUCGUUGUGGAACGGCCGUCGCUACAACGGAAGUAAAGGUACCUCGGGGAUAACAGGCUGAUCUUGCCCAAGAGUCCAUAUCGACGGCAUGGUUUGGCACCUCGAUGUCGGCUCGUCGCAUCCUGGGGCUGGAGUAGGUCCCAAGGGUUGGGCUGUUCGCCCAUUAAAGCGGUACGCGAGCUGGGUUCAGAACGUCGUGAGACAGUUCGGUCCCUAUCCUCUGCGCGCGUUGGAAAUUUGAGAAGGUCUGUCCUUAGUACGAGAGGACCGGGACGGACGAACCUCUGGUAUGUCAGUUGUACCGCCAGGUGCAUGGCUGAUUAGCUACGUUU
This 486-nucleotide ribosomal RNA is filed under the name Micrococcus luteus. Its description in RNAcentral is "bacterial LSU rRNA". It matches the Rfam family "Bacterial large subunit ribosomal RNA", at positions 2275 to 2756 of the family's 2925-position model. The record is from RNAcentral. Lineage: Bacteria; Bacillati; Actinomycetota; Actinomycetes; Micrococcales; Micrococcaceae.